GCCCGCCUUGCCCAAAGGAUGUGCCACUCAUCCGACAGUCCCCAGAGUCACAGCUGCUGCUAGAGGGCGAUUCUGUACACUUCCUUGUCGUCAUGUGCCCUGACUUCCUGCCACAAGGGCAGCUGCUACAGAGUAGGAGUGAUAAUCUUCAAGACAGGAGUGACAGGGAGAAGGGCCUCGUGCAAAGACUCAGCCAGGACCAAUAGUGACAACCAUAACGCCCAGCGUUUGACAAGUAAGCCCGCGGUCCUCCCCCUUUCGGAUUAUGGAACCCGCUCUGUUCCCAUGUCACCCUCCACUCCUCCCUCUCUCCUUUUCUGCUGGAUUCCUUCCGUCUGAGCAGGACAGCAUCCUGGAGCUAGACUCCCCAACUCCACCGCUGCUGUGGCCACUCUGGACACCCGCUCCCCUGGACGUUCUGACCAGGACAAGCAGCCUGGGUUUUCUGACAGGGGUACCAGGUCAUUCUGAUCUUCUGGGAAGGUUGUAAAACACUGAGACGCUGUACAAGGACGUCGAAAAUAAUUUGCCCAAGUUUCUCAGCUUGCAGAUAUAAUUUUCUGAGAUUUUUAACACCUUGUCUUAGACAUUGGAUCAUUUACUUCACAGUCACUUUAUUCCAGCCUUAGGAUCACCAUGGGGCUAAGUGGAAACUGGACUCAGAGAAGGUUGGUGACUUGCCCCGGAGGAAAUGGUAACACUGAGAUCACACCCAGGCUUCCUGACCCCAAAGUACUGCCUUGUCCCUUCGUUGUCCUCCAUUUCUUCAUUCCAGGAGUCUUCAUGGGACGGAGGGGACCUACCUGCCAGAUUCUGUCGCUCACCUCCCACCAGCRGGGGAAGCAGGGCCCGUGGCAGAGUCGGUGCAGCAGUGUGGGCUUCACUGAGAAGUGAGGGCAUCUCAUUGCCUGAAUCUGUGCAAGUCAAACUCAAGCUUCUCCAAGGCUGGACUGUUCCAAUCUAGCACCUCUUCUCAAAAAACACCCAGUGUGUCUCUGUUAAAUGGUAAUUUUCAGAAUUUUGGCUCAUGCUCAAAGCUGAAAGGUGGCCACAAAUAGGACCCAGAUCCCGUGGUUCAUCACCCCUUUCCAUCUAGACAAACUCAAGAGACUUGGAGUAAAGUGUUUCUUUGAAGGAAGUUGUCCCACAGCCCAGGACACCUGUGUGACAUCCUGCUUCCCUCUUCACAGUCGGGGGAUGAGGUGUGUUCUUGGUCCAUCUCAGCCCCAGGGGACAGCAGAGUGGAGAGUGACGGCCACCUGAGAGCAAGCUCCAUCUCCUCAGUGGRUGAAGCAAGGGUGCGGGUUUCCCUGUGAGUGGGUGGACUGCUCUACCUGUGGCUAAGCUGGAGUCAUCUUGAAAGGACCCCCUCAGGAGGCCUGUCUGCAGCAGGAAGUCUGGAGGCAUUCCCUCUGAGCAGGAGCCCAGGGCAGUGCUGCUGGURGCCAGCCAAGGAACGCAUCAUCCGUGCCGGGGUGUGCAGUGUCAGAGAUUCCAGGGCUUGAAGGACUCAGAGAAUCGAACAUCUGGACAUCUGCCACGCAGACGGCCUCGGGCCCAGUUACGCCAGCAGCUGUCAAAUGAGAUUUCCCCCAUUCUCCUCCUCCUCACCCAUCCAGAGGCAGGAGGCGGGUGGGGAGGAGGGAGCAGGAGCCGGGAGGCCCAGAGAAAGCACAAAGCUGUGUCUCCCUUGCCCAAGGCAGGAAGCAGAGCCGGCUGCCCUAAGCUGGGGAUUAGAAGACAAACUUAGCAUUGGGUGAGAAGGUGAAGUUUUAAUUUAAAUCAAAUUGAACUUUUUAAUACUCAAAAAAAAUGAGUCUGUUAUGAUACUUAAAAUUACCAGAAAAGCUACUAUUUCUGCUUGAGAUAUUAUCUAGGAAUAGACUAGGGGUUUCCAACAGAGACCAUUUGAAGAGUCAUAGUGAGGGGAAAAUAAACUUCUUUUUGGAUUCCUCUCUACCA
This 1962-nucleotide long non-coding RNA is filed under the name Urocitellus parryii (Arctic ground squirrel). Its description in RNAcentral is "lncRNA (ENSUPAG00010008399.1)". The record is from RNAcentral. Lineage: Eukaryota; Metazoa; Chordata; Mammalia; Rodentia; Sciuridae.